Molecule: long non-coding RNA, 1261 nt
Organism: Homo sapiens (human)
Lineage: Eukaryota; Metazoa; Chordata; Mammalia; Primates; Hominidae
Gene: NUTM2A-AS1
Product: NUTM2A antisense RNA 1
Source: Ensembl
GCCUGCCGGCCUCCUUCGCCCCGCCCCGUCCGCGCAGCUCGUCCGGCCCGCCCGCAGGCCAGCUUCUCUCGGGAGCCUCCACCCAGGCGCAUGGCUCCAUGAAGCAAGAGGAGGAGGCAGAGCGCGAGAGAUCCCGUCCGCCCCAGCCGCGUCUGGGCCAGGAGAAAAGCAAAACCAUAUUCCUGCUGCUGUCAGUUUUGAUGCACUGAGAAAACUUCAGAGACCUAAGCUUUUUCCAGAGAAGAGAAGCUUUACUGGUGUUCCAGCCCUAAGGCUCAUAUGACAUUAACAGACAAGACACUUUUCAGAAAGACAGGCAACGUGUUGGACCUUCCGGAGCUUCUCAGAAGACAGAGGGUUUUCUUUUGAGCAGUUUAAGUAUAGUGUGCCUGGGCCGGGUGCGGUGGCUCACGCCUAUAAUCCCAGCACUUUGGGAGGCCAAGGCCAGUGGAUCACCUGAGGUCAGGAAUUCGGGACCAACCUGGCCAACAUGUGAAACCCCAUCUCCACUAAAAAAUCCAAAAAUUAGCCAGGCAUGGUGGUGCGUGCCUGUAAUCCCAGCUAUUCAGGAGACUGAGGCAGGAGAAUCGCUGGACCUUGGGGAGGCGGAGGUUGCAGUGAGCUGAGAUCGCACACUACCGUACUCCAGCCUGGGUGACAAAGAAAAACUCCGUCUCAAAAAAUAAUAAUAAUAAAAAAGUAUAGUGUGCCUGGAUGCAGUUUUGUUUUUAUUUAUCCUGCUUGGGGAUCAUAAAGCUUUAUCAGUUUUGGAAAGUUCUCAGCCUAUAUUUAUUUAACUGUUCCUUCUGCCCCAUCUUCCUCCCUUCUUCUAAGACUCCAGUUACGUAUGUAUUAGGCCUGUUCACCACUUCCCACAAGUAUCUUAUGUUCUUUGCUGUAUUUUCCAUACUCUUUGUCUCUGUUUUUCAGCUUAGAGUUUUUAUUCUGUCCUGUAUUACAGUUCAAAGAAUGUUCCUUCUGCUAAAUCUAAUUGUAGUUAACCCAUAUGCUAAGUACUUAAUUUCAGUUAUUGUAUUUUUAAGUUUUAAAUUUCCAUUUCAUUCUUUCUUAUAGAUUCCAGUUCUUUGAUGAAAGUCUCUAUUCCACCCAUCAAGUCUGUGUCUGAUAACACCAAUAUCUGGGUCAUUAGUGGCUCCGUUUUGUUGUGUCUGUUUUCCCCUCCUUCCUGUUUUGUGGUGUGUUUGAUCACUUAUUGUUGAAUGCUAACCAUUAUAAUAAAUUUUAGUGGCUCCAGGAAACA